RNAcentral lists this ribosomal RNA (402 nucleotides) under Triticum aestivum (bread wheat). RNAcentral's name for it is "partial small subunit ribosomal RNA". Lineage: Eukaryota; Viridiplantae; Streptophyta; Magnoliopsida; Poales; Poaceae. The record is from RNAcentral.
AUGCUCGCUCUUUUGCUAUGCCUAUGCUGCGAUACCUACCACUUGCUUAUCAUGCCUCCCAUAUUGUUAAGCCAAGCCUCUAACCACCUUGUCCUAGCAAACCGUUGUUUGGCUAUGUUACCGCUUUGCUCAGCCCCUCUUAUAGCGUUGUUAGUUGUAGGUGAAGAUUGGAGUUUGUUCCAGGUUUGGAACAUGGAUAUUUUAUUGGGAUAUCACAAUAUCUCUUAUUUAAUUAAUGCAUCUAUAUACUUGGUAAAGGGUGGAAGGCUCGACCUUAUGCCUGGUGUUUUGUUCCACUCUUGCCACCCUAGUUUCCGUCAUAUCGGUGUUAUGUUCCCGGAUUUUGCGUUCCUUACGCGGUUGGGUUAUAAUGGGAACCCCUUAACAGUUCGCUUUGAAUAA